UACGUAGGGUGCGAGCGUUAAUCGGAAUUACUGGGCGUAAAGCGUGCGCAGGCGGUUCGUUAAGUUCGUUGUGAAAGCCCCGGGCUCAACCUGGGAACUGCAAUGGAAACUGGCGGCUUGAGUGUGGCAGAGGGGGUGGAAUUCCGCGUGUAGCAGUGAAAUGCGUAGAGAUGCGGAGGAACACCGAUGGCGAAGGCAGCCCCCUGGGCCAACACUGACGCUCAGGCACGAAAGCGUGGGGAGCAAACAGG
This 251-nucleotide ribosomal RNA is filed under the name uncultured bacterium. RNAcentral's name for it is "partial 16S ribosomal RNA". It matches the Rfam family "Bacterial small subunit ribosomal RNA", at positions 524 to 776 of the family's 1533-position model. The record is from RNAcentral.